UGUUAUGUAUUUUUACAGACAUUUCUUAAAAGUUGGAAGACGAGCUUAAACAAAUGCGCGCACAGUCUGCGUUUGGCGUCCUCGCCAAAUCCACCCGUGCUCUUGUAUCGAAACCGAAAGCAACCAAAAAGUGAUUGAUCGCGGAAGUUUUUUUACUUUAACCGAGCUCCUGUAAUCCAAAGCCCACCGCCAGUAGUCCAUGACGAAGGAAAUUGGAGCCGUGGACGGUAAUGCGGGGAUCGUGGAAGGCACGCAACAGAGUGUCACUGGGCACUGGGUGUCAGCACAUCAGAUCUGCUGCUUGAUUCACGAACAUCUAUUUAAAGUCGAUGAAUGCCAUAUAAGACGAUUGGUGUCUUUGCUAGUGUUCCUGAGAUUCAACAAAAUUCUAUUCCAGGAAAAUGUGAGAUACGUACUACGAGCAGUAUGUGAACACUGGCUUGGCUGGGGUUGACAGAAUGGGAUUCACAAGGGUCAUUCAGCAUACUAUGAUAAAUGUGUGUUAACAGGCCAUCUGUUUGCAUCGUUGUGGUGACGCUGCUCUGUGCAGUAGCCUACAGUAAACGGCGGUUCGACUACGCCAACAUUUUAAGCACAUACAGAAACCUGAUUGUUCCAGAGCUUCAACAACUAAAUCUAACCGGUGCCUCUUUUGCAUCCGAGGGAAAAGAUUGCUGUCCUUCUGAAAAGGUGCAUCGUAUAUUUCGCUCAAUCUGUGGGAUGACCAAGCAGUACCUGAACAAUACAGGGCAGCAGGGAGAAAUUGGACGGGUGGUGCAGAAGAUGGAGUUUCUGAUCACGGAACGGUGCAAAAAGGUUGGCAUGGUAAAGCAGAGGACUGCAACGUGUAAAGAUGCAAAACUACAAAAGUUAAAAGAAAAGUGUCUAAAACGAAAGAAGAGAAGAAGGGACCAUUGCCGUAGGGAGGAGAAAAUGAAGUUGGUUCAAAUGCUUGUUUUUUGCUGGCAAAAACUGCAGAGUGCCACACCCUGAGGAAGGGUGAGGGGAAGGGAAUUGAAACACUGUCUCUGACAGUUAUAUCCGCUCACUGAAUGUAAAAGCCAUCAUUACACAUGUCUGUCCAUGAUGCUUGGUUCCUAUUUAUCUUAGAUUCAAUGUGUCAGUAUUUGAAUAAAUGUUGUUUUUACAAUAUUCUUUUUGUCACACAUAUGACUAUGAAGCCUUAUAAAAUCAGCUGGGUGCUUACUUUAUUCCCUAUAUGUUUGUACCAAAUCAACAUAUACCAUUUACACAUAGACCUAAUAUGACUUGUAUAGGCUACUUGUAUUUGCUCAUAUGUCAUCUGCUGAACUGUGUAUUCAAUCUCUAUUCAUUCUAUUCAAAAGUGUCCCAUUAUCCGAAAGUGCAUGCAUAAACCAAAUAAGAGCAUUGGCACAAUGUGCAUUGAUGCAUCAUAAAAAUAUGUUGUAUUUCUUAAUAAAUAUUUUAAAAACCAA
Alosa sapidissima (American shad) is the source of this 1457-nucleotide long non-coding RNA. RefSeq lists it as uncharacterized. NCBI's taxonomy places the organism in Eukaryota, Metazoa, Chordata, Actinopteri, Clupeiformes, Clupeidae. The record is from RefSeq and is a predicted model, not a curated record. The transcript is spliced from 5 exons.